Molecule: long non-coding RNA, 404 nt
Organism: Mya arenaria
Lineage: Eukaryota; Metazoa; Mollusca; Bivalvia; Myida; Myidae
Exons: 3
Source: RefSeq, a predicted model, not a curated record
AUGAAUAUACGUUUAAAAUAAGCAAAUACUAAAAGUGCACACUGACAGUUGAUUACGAUACAUCUAACAAUUUGAGUCAUUACAGUAAAACAAGUGAAUUAUACGCGUAAAAGAAGAUUUUCUGUCGAAAAAACUAAUGUCAACAAUCAGCAUGGAACUGGGAUAUUCGUAUCAAAGGGCUAUUCAUGCAGGAAAAUGACUGAAUAUUACUAUUAUAUGAAGAAUUCCAGCCUGCAUUAAAUACUUUGUUGGAUCAUUGAGACAGAUUUGACAUCCAUGUCUAUCCACAAGGCAGUCACAUCUGAUAGAGAUGAUCACUAAACAUUCUAGAUGGGUAAAGAACCUGAAGGGGCAUGAAAACCAAAUCAGCAUUGACUCAGCAUUGAGUAAUUAUCAUCUGUGCA